This is a long non-coding RNA of Capsicum annuum, 1656 nucleotides long. RefSeq lists it as uncharacterized. The transcript has 2 exons. The record is from RefSeq and is a predicted model, not a curated record. Lineage: Eukaryota; Viridiplantae; Streptophyta; Magnoliopsida; Solanales; Solanaceae.
GCCUAUAUGCCAUAAAAAACCUCUAUUUUUUAAUUGGCCAAACAUUUUCCCACUUGGGAAGGUGAUUCUAGUUCUCAAAUUCCUCUAGUUGUCCACAAAAUUUGAAGGAGAUUUGGUUCUACCUUUCCCAAAAAAUUCGAGUUCAAUUAGAGGAGAAAUAUGCGGCUUUGUUUGUCCAAAGCGCUACUCCACCACGAGCCUAACCCACCAAAAAGCCCUAAAGUCUACUGCUUCAAUCGACCCCAAUUUGCAAUUGAAUGCAGCGCAACCAGGGCGAAUUUCGGCGACGGCGCUAAACGGCAAACGGGAAAUGCACCAGGAGGGACACCUUCCAAAGGCGAACAUAACCCACCAAAGAGCUCCAAAAUCAGUGGGUCAAUCGCCGCCAAUCUUCAUUCGAAGAUUGCGCCACCUGUGGCGAUUUCCGAUCACGGCGCCGCCGCCACGUCGAAGCUCCAAAUUCAAAAUUUCCUACAGAAUUCGACGGAAAAUGUGGUCAGCAACUCGAAUUUGUCAAAAGCCCCUUAUAAUUCAUCUCAGAAUCAGUCCAGUUGCAAAAUUAGGGUUUUAAAACCCCAAUUUUCAGUUGGUGGAGUUCCGACGGCUGAAACUCGAAUUGGUCAAAGGAAUUUGUGCAAAAUGAUCCUAUUGUUGAUUUCCCUAAGGUUGACUCAACUGAUUCACCUCAAUUAUCAUCCAAUUUGAAUUCUGAUGAAUUAAAGGAUGGUGAAGAGGAUGAUGAUUAUGUGCAGUCAAUUGAGGAUCCUACAGGUAAGUUUUCCUCUCCUAAACAUCGUGGGAACUGUAGCUGCUGUGACUAGUGUUGCUGGGGAUGUACAUGGUGUUGUGCAUGAUGGUAUUGAUGUUGUUCAUGGUGGUCAGGUUGAUACUGAUGCUGUGGGUACUGUUGAUGCUAUACAACCCUAGAAAGAGUCCCAAAGGAGUGUUCAUAACCCAAAAAAUCAGUCCCAAGAGGGUGUGUUGCAUGGUGUGGUCCUUAAUGGUAAUAGUGGUGUACAAGCCGAAGUGGUCCCCUAUCCCCAAUGGUUUUAAUGGUUCUGAUGGUGUAAAUAGUGGGAAGGAGUUGCUGAAAUCUUGUCCCAAUGCCCCAUAUCUCAUGUUUCAAUUGAUGGUGAAUCCGAUGAUGAAGUAGAGGGAGGAGAGGGGUGUUCUGUGGAUUUGCUGGAAAAGAAUGAAGGGAUCAAAUGUCAUGGUUCUGAUAACGUGGUUAUUGGUGGUGUGAAUUCUCCUGGUGUUGAAAAAGACAAUGAUAAAGAGGGGAGGAAUAUGCAGUUACCAGUAAACCUUCUUUGGAAGGUUGUUGAAUAUGAGAAGUUGUCUUCUUCUUCUACAAUUUGUGGGGCUCUUUGAUUCUCCUUCAAUGGUUUCUUCCACAGCACCAAGUGAUGUGGCUAGUGGGUCCAUUUCGCCCACGGAUGCAAGGAGAUCACGUGAUGAUAGUGAUCCUAAUGACAGUCGUUGAUAUCGUUGCAAAUUGUCUUGGAUAUUCAAUUAUGAUGAUGUAAUUAUGUGAUUGGAGUGAAUCUUAUAAUAUUGACGUCGUGUUUAAAUUUGAUUUUUAGAGUUUGAAGAUACUAGUUAAUGUUGAAAAUUUGGAGUUUGAAGAUGCUAAUGUUGAAAAUUUAAUGUUCAACA